AUGUCUAUGAUGAGUGAACUAAAGUUCUUUCUUGGGUUGCAAAUCAAGCAAACUAAGGAGGGUACCUUUGUUUCCCAUACAAAGUAUACCAAGGACUUAUUCAAGAAGUUCAACAUGCAAGAAAGCAAAGGUAUGAAAACACCCAUGCCUACUAGUGGACAUCUUGACUUGACUAAGGAUGGCAAACCGGUUGACCAAAAGGUUUACCGCUCUAUGAUUGGUUCAUUGUUAUAUCUAUGUGCCUCUCGUCCCAAUAUUAUGCUAAGUGUGUGCAUGUGUGCACGAUAUCAAGCGGGCCCCAAAGAAUGUCAUCUUAAGGUUGUGAAAAGGAUAGUGAGAUACUUAAUUCAUACACCAAAUUUUGGCAUUUGGUAUCCUAAGAGGUCCUCUUUUGAUCUUGUUGGAUACUCCAAUUCGGACUAUGCCGGUGAC
This 432-nucleotide ribosomal RNA is filed under the name Triticum aestivum (bread wheat). RNAcentral describes it as "partial small subunit ribosomal RNA". Lineage: Eukaryota; Viridiplantae; Streptophyta; Magnoliopsida; Poales; Poaceae. The record is from RNAcentral.